Molecule: ribosomal RNA, 467 nt
Filed under: uncultured bacterium
Lineage: Bacteria
Description: partial 16S ribosomal RNA
Rfam family: Bacterial small subunit ribosomal RNA
Source: RNAcentral
GACGAACGCUGGCGGCGUGCUUAACACAUGCAAGUCGAACGGAAAGGCCCUGCUUUUGUGGGGUGCUCGAGUGGCGAACGGGUGAGUAACACGUGAGUAACCUGCCCUUGACUUUGGGAUAACUUCAGGAAACUGGGGCUAAUACCGGAUAGGAGCUCCUGCUGCAUGGUGGGGGUUGGAAAGUUUCGGCGGUUGGGGAUAGACUCGCGGCUUAUCAGCUUGUUGGUGGGGUAGUGGCUUACCAAGGCUUUGACGGGUAGCCGGCCUGAGAGGGUGACCGGCCACAUUGGGACUGAGAUACGGCCCAGACUCCUACGGGAGGCAGCAGUGGGGAAUAUUGCACAAUGGGCGGAAGCCUGAUGCAGCAACGCCGCGUGCGGGAUGACGGCCUUCGGGUUGUAAACCGCUUUCGCCCGUGACGAAGCGUGAGUGACGGUAUGGGUAAAGAAGCACCGGCUAACUACGUG